AAAAUUUAAAAUGAAAAUACUAAAAUAGUAAAUAAAUAUUUAUUGAAACUUAAAUAAUUUGGCGGUAUUUUAGUUCAUUUAGAGGAAUCUGUCUAUUAAUUGAUAUUCCACGAAUAAAUUUACUUAAUUUUAUAAUUUUGUAUAUCGUUGUUAAAAAAAUAUUUUUUAAUAAAAUUAAUAUUUUAAAAUUAUUAAUAAAAUUUAAAUCAAAUCAAGAUGCAGAUUAUAAUUAAGAAUAUUGAUGGAUUACAAUAAAUUUAUUUAAAUGAAUAUUGAUUUGUAAUAAUUAAUUGAAAGUGGAUUUAAAUGUAAUUUUAUUUAAUUUAAUAAAAUGAUUAAAAAUUAAGAUAUGU
Molecule: ribosomal RNA, 353 nt
Filed under: Sesamia sp. SETAG6580
Lineage: Eukaryota; Metazoa; Arthropoda; Insecta; Lepidoptera; Noctuidae
Description: partial 12S small subunit ribosomal RNA
Source: RNAcentral